Molecule: ribosomal RNA, 1463 nt
Filed under: Enterococcus faecium
Lineage: Bacteria; Bacillati; Bacillota; Bacilli; Lactobacillales; Enterococcaceae
Description: bacterial SSU rRNA
Rfam family: Bacterial small subunit ribosomal RNA
Source: RNAcentral
CAGGGGGGGGUGCUAUACAUGCAAGUCGUACGCUUCUUUUUCCACCGGAGCUUGCUCCACCGGAAAAAGAAGAGUGGCGAACGGGUGAGUAACACGUGGGUAACCUGCCCAUCAGAAGGGGAUAACACUUGGAAACAGGUGCUAAUACCGUAUAACAAUCGAAACCGCAUGGUUUUGAUUUGAAAGGCGCUUUCGGGUGUCGCUGAUGGAUGGACCCGCGGUGCAUUAGCUAGUUGGUGAGGUAACGGCUCACCAAGGCCACGAUGCAUAGCCGACCUGAGAGGGUGAUCGGCCACAUUGGGACUGAGACACGGCCCAAACUCCUACGGGAGGCAGCAGUAGGGAAUCUUCGGCAAUGGACGAAAGUCUGACCGAGCAACGCCGCGUGAGUGAAGAAGGUUUUCGGAUCGUAAAACUCUGUUGUUAGAGAAGAACAAGGAUGAGAGUAACUGUUCAUCCCUUGACGGUAUCUAACCAGAAAGCCACGGCUAACUACGUGCCAGCAGCCGCGGUAAUACGUAGGUGGCAAGCGUUGUCCGGAUUUAUUGGGCGUAAAGCGAGCGCAGGCGGUUUCUUAAGUCUGAUGUGAAAGCCCCCGGCUCAACCGGGGAGGGUCAUUGGAAACUGGGAGACUUGAGUGCAGAAGAGGAGAGUGGAAUUCCAUGUGUAGCGGUGAAAUGCGUAGAUAUAUGGAGGAACACCAGUGGCGAAGGCGGCUCUCUGGUCUGUAACUGACGCUGAGGCUCGAAAGCGUGGGGAGCAAACAGGAUUAGAUACCCUGGUAGUCCACGCCGUAAACGAUGAGUGCUAAGUGUUGGAGGGUUUCCGCCCUUCAGUGCUGCAGCUAACGCAUUAAGCACUCCGCCUGGGGAGUACGACCGCAAGGUUGAAACUCAAAGGAAUUGACGGGGGCCCGCACAAGCGGUGGAGCAUGUGGUUUAAUUCGAAGCAACGCGAAGAACCUUACCAGGUCUUGACAUCCUUUGACCACUCUAGAGAUAGAGCUUCCCCUUCGGGGGCAAAGUGACAGGUGGUGCAUGGUUGUCGUCAGCUCGUGUCGUGAGAUGUUGGGUUAAGUCCCGCAACGAGCGCAACCCUUAUUGUUAGUUGCCAUCAUUCAGUUGGGCACUCUAGCAAGACUGCCGGUGACAAACCGGAGGAAGGUGGGGAUGACGUCAAAUCAUCAUGCCCCUUAUGACCUGGGCUACACACGUGCUACAAUGGGAAGUACAACGAGUCGCGAAGUCGCGAGGCUAAGCUAAUCUCUUAAAGCUUCUCUCAGUUCGGAUUGUAGGCUGCAACUCGCCUACAUGAAGCCGGAAUCGCUAGUAAUCGCGGAUCAGCACGCCGCGGUGAAUACGUUCCCGGGCCUUGUACACACCGCCCGUCACACCACGAGAGUUUGUAACACCCGAAGUCGGUGAGGUAACCUUUUGGAGCCAGCCGCCUAAGGUGAUUGAAGG